This is a long non-coding RNA of Daphnia pulicaria, 635 nucleotides long. RefSeq lists it as uncharacterized. The record is from RefSeq and is a predicted model, not a curated record. The transcript is spliced from 3 exons. NCBI's taxonomy places the organism in Eukaryota, Metazoa, Arthropoda, Branchiopoda, Diplostraca, Daphniidae.
GUAGCGCGAGUGUCUUCAGGGACGCUUAACGGCCGGCUAUUUUGUUCCAAGACGCAGCAGAAAUGGGUUGUUGGUUGUGACCGGUUGUGACGUUUCUCACGACAAAAUUAAAAGAUGAUUUAGCACGUAGAAACCAAUUUGCCAAAUCAUUCAACUCAGACUUGGAAGUGCCUGUACAUUUCCGAAAUGGCGUGCCUCGUGUGUCUCGCUGCCUGUUCUUAGGCGUACGUCUCAUCCCAUGCAACAGAAAAAAGUAUAACAAACACUUCUUCAACGAUGUUUGGUUACCUUGUUUCAGCCAAAUGGUGAAAGGUGUGAUGAAGACAGAUUGAACCAUUGUAUGCAGCAUGCGGUUGCAGUGUAAUCCAGAAGUUGCUGUGAUGUUGUAGCUGAGCUGUUCCAUCUGGGUUCCUGACUUCCAAAUUUUUGUGUUGUCGUUUUCAUCCAUGCCAUGAAAUUGCUCUGUGUUAACUGUGUGCAGACUUAAAAGUUUGAUCUGUUGUCUUUUGAGUUUUCAUUCAAUCAUGCAGUAUACAACUGAGGCAACCUGAUCAAUAUCAGGUUUGACACAGUCGAGAACUGCUAGAUUAAACAAGCUUUCUGCGCCAAACAAAUAAUAACUUGCACAUAACUUG